RNAcentral lists this ribosomal RNA (292 nucleotides) under uncultured bacterium. RNAcentral describes it as "partial 16S ribosomal RNA". The record is from RNAcentral.
GGACUACAAGGGUUUCUAAUCCCAUUUGCUCCCCUAGCUUUCGUUCCUCAGCGUCAGUAAUGGCCCAGCGAGUCGCUUGCGCCACCGGUGUUCUUCCCAAUAUCUACGCAUUUCACCGCUACACUGGGAAUUCCACUCGCCUCUACCACACUCAAGUCUGCCAGUAUCCAGUGCAGUACCCGGGUUGGGCCCGAGCCUUUAACACCAGACUUAACAAACCGCCUACGAACUCUUUACGCCCAAUAAAUCCGGACAACGCUCGCAUCCUACGUCUUACCGCGGCGGCUGGCAC